AUGAUGGUUUGGUUGCUUUUCAUUAUAAAUCUUAUGGGGCUUUUUUGAUAUACUGAAAAAGCUCCAUAAUCUCUGUGGUGGAUUUACCCACUAUAGAAAUUAUAGAGCC
RNAcentral lists this non-coding RNA (109 nucleotides) under uncultured Streptococcus sp. RNAcentral describes it as "Streptococcus RNA 266". It matches the Rfam family "Streptococcus RNA 266". Lineage: Bacteria; Bacillati; Bacillota; Bacilli; Lactobacillales; Streptococcaceae. The record is from RNAcentral.